AGAGUUUGAUCCUGGCUCAGGACGAACGCUGGCGGCGUGCCUAAUACAUGCAAGUAGAACGCUGAAGACUUUAGCUUGCUAGAGUUGGAAGAGUUGCGAACGGGUGAGUAACGCGUAGGUAACCUGCCUACUAGCGGGGGAUAACUAUUGGAAACGAUAGCUAAUACCGCAUAAUAGUGUUUAACACAUGUUAGAUGCUUGAAAGAUGCAAUUGCAUCACUAGUAGAUGGACCUGCGUUGUAUUAGCUAGUUGGUGGGGUACGGCCUACCAAGGCGACGAUACAUAACCGACCUGAGAGGGUGAUCGGCCACACUGGGACUGAGACACGGCCCAGACUCCUACGGGAGGCAGCAGUAGGGAAUCUUCGGCAAUGGGGGCAACCCUGACCGAGCAACGCCGCGUGAGUGAAGAAGGUUUUCGGAUCGUUAAAGCUCUGUUGUAAGAAGAAGAACGUGUGUGUAGAGUUGGAAAGUUCACACAGUGAUCGGGUAACUUCACCAGAAAGGGACGGCUAACUACGUGCCAGCAGCCGCGGUAAU
This 540-nucleotide ribosomal RNA is filed under the name Streptococcus sp. W38. RNAcentral's name for it is "bacterial SSU rRNA". It matches the Rfam family "Bacterial small subunit ribosomal RNA", at positions 8 to 524 of the family's 1533-position model. The record is from RNAcentral. Lineage: Bacteria; Bacillati; Bacillota; Bacilli; Lactobacillales; Streptococcaceae.